Molecule: long non-coding RNA, 894 nt
Filed under: Triticum aestivum (bread wheat)
Lineage: Eukaryota; Viridiplantae; Streptophyta; Magnoliopsida; Poales; Poaceae
Description: long non-coding RNA (TAES_LNC020424)
Source: RNAcentral
GCGGGGUGCCUUGGUGCUCGCUGUUCGAGUGUGAGGUAUACGUUGGUGUCGCUCGCCUCGCGGUUCAUUCGGUGCUUGGCCUUGGGGCUCUGCGACUGCCCUGGCGUCAUGCCUGAGCUCUGGCGAGAGCCUCCCGCGGGUCAACGGGGAGAGGGGGCCAGCGUGCCAGGGCCUGAGCCGGAGCGCGACGCAAUGCAAUGCGGCGACCGUCUGGAUUUCCCCCUACCUCUCUCUCUUUGUGUGUUGGGAUUUUGCUGCUGGGCAAGUACUCUGAUUCGAUAUUUUGCUGCUGCUGGCAGGGCAGGGCGGGGUACCCACUGCUGCUUCGUCGGCCUCGGCGGAGUACUAGCAUGAUGACGCGAGGACUUUGAUGAGAUGUGAACCGGCGCGGCGUCUGGCUGGCCGGCAUGGAGCGGGAUUGGUCGUCGCAGAGUUCGAGCCAGGGCGCGCCGUUCGAGGUCGACCGUGACGCAGGGUCUGUAUCUGUAUAUGCUUGGACAGAGCCUGCGUGGUGCGGUUCCGUCCAUGUCAUUCAUGCUCGGAAUCGUUCAACAAGGACGGACGGGAACACAUCAUGCUUAUCUAUCUAUCUAUCCGUGCCGGCCGUACUAUUGUACAUUGCUUGCUUGCGUUCGUCUCCUUUCUAUGCCGACUGUUUUGGCUUUUCCAGGCUGCCGCUGCUUGCUGCAUUGUGAAGUUUUGGAUCUUGACCUGCUGCUUAAAUAACUCUUCCUGGUUGAUUUUUUUAUAAUUUAUUAGUAAUAAAUUAAAUAAAGAGGGCUGCUGAGCCCGGGAUAAUUCCGUGUCAUCUAUGCAUUAUUGGUACGAAAAGCACGGUGACCAUGACAUUGACACAUACUCCAUACAAGUGGUUUUCCACCGUGAAGUGACAAG